RNAcentral lists this ribosomal RNA (496 nucleotides) under uncultured bacterium. Its description in RNAcentral is "partial 16S ribosomal RNA". It matches the Rfam family "Bacterial small subunit ribosomal RNA", at positions 28 to 506 of the family's 1533-position model. The record is from RNAcentral.
GAUGAACGCUGGCGGCGUGCCUAAUACAUGCAAGUCGAGCGAACGGACGAGAAGCUUGCUUCUCUGAUGUUAGCGGCGGACGGGUGAGUAACACGUGGAUAACCUACCUAUAAGACUGGGAUAACUUCGGGAAACCGGAGCUAAUACCGGAUAAUAUUUUGAACCGCAUGGUUCAAAAGUGAAAGACGGUCUUGCUGUCACUUAUAGAUGGAUCCGCGCUGCAUUAGCUAGUUGGUAAGGUAACGGCUUACCAAGGCAACGAUGCAUAGCCGACCUGAGAGGGUGAUCGGCCACACUGGAACUGAGACACGGUCCAGAGUCCUACGGGAGGCAGCAGUAGGGAAUCUUCCGCAAUGGGCGAAAGCCUGACGGAGCAACGCCGCGUGGGUGAUGAAGGUCUUCGGAUCGUAAAACGCUGUUAUUAGGGAAGAACAUAUGUGUAAGUAACUGUGCACAUCUUGACGGGACCUAAUCAGAAAGCCACGGCUAACUACGU